This 321-nucleotide long non-coding RNA is filed under the name Capsicum annuum. RNAcentral's name for it is "long non-coding RNA (CANN_LNC011568)". Lineage: Eukaryota; Viridiplantae; Streptophyta; Magnoliopsida; Solanales; Solanaceae. The record is from RNAcentral.
UUGGAGGCAAAGUGGAGAAAAAGAAAAAAUUAACGAAGGAAGAAAAAUAUCUAAGUUCCGCGGGUGUGAUUCAUGGCCUAUGGACUGGACCCAUAACCCGUGGAAGGUACUUGUGAGCAGGUUCUAAAGUGGAGGCAAAAUCUGAUUUUUAUCAAUGUGACCUACGACUUAUGAAUCCAACCUACGAUUUGUGAAUGUUAGUCGUGAACUAGAUACUAAGGAUAUAUAAAGAGUUUGAUUUCCACGAGAGAGGCCCAUAACCCAUAGACUGAUUCACUACUCCAAUGUACGAGUCAUAGGAAGCUACCAACUUGUUUCUCC